ACGAUGCGUAGCCGACCUGAGAGGGUGAUCGGCCACACUGGAACUGAGACACGGUCCAGACUCCUACGGGAGGCAGCAGUAGGGACUCUUCCGCAAUGGGCGAAAGCCUGACGGAGCAACGCCGCGUGAGUGAUGAAGGUCUUCGGAUCGUAAAACUCUGUUAUUAGGGAAGAACAAAUGUGUAAGUAACUAUGCACGUCUUGACGG
This 207-nucleotide ribosomal RNA is filed under the name Staphylococcus epidermidis. RNAcentral describes it as "partial 16S ribosomal RNA". It matches the Rfam family "Bacterial small subunit ribosomal RNA", at positions 276 to 475 of the family's 1533-position model. The record is from RNAcentral. Lineage: Bacteria; Bacillati; Bacillota; Bacilli; Caryophanales; Staphylococcaceae.